GAUGAACGCUAGCGGCAGGCCUAACACAUGCAAGUCGAGGGGUAGAAGGAGCUUGCUCCUUUGAGACCGGCGCACGGGUGCGUAACGCGUAUGCAAUCUACCUUGUACAGGGGAAUAGCCCAGAGAAAUUUGGAUUAAUGCCCCAUAGUAUAUAACCUUCGCAUGUUGGUUAUAUUAAAGUUCCAACGGUACAAGAUGAGCAUGCGUCCCAUUAGUUAGUUGGUAAGGUAACGGCUUACCAAGACGAUGAUGGGUAGGGGUCCUGAGAGGGAGAUCCCCCACACUGGUACUUAGCCACGGACCAGAUUCCUACGGGAGGCAGCAGUGAGGAAUAUUGGUCAAUGGUCGCAAGACUGAACCAGCCAUGCCGCGUGCAGGAAGACGGUCGUAUGGAUUGUAAACUGCUUUUAUACAGGAAGAAACCCUCCCACGUGUGGGAGCUUGACGGUACUGUAGGAAUAAGGAACGGCUAACUCCGUG
This 480-nucleotide ribosomal RNA is filed under the name uncultured bacterium. RNAcentral's name for it is "partial 16S ribosomal RNA". It matches the Rfam family "Bacterial small subunit ribosomal RNA", at positions 28 to 507 of the family's 1533-position model. The record is from RNAcentral.